UGUAUGCCAAGUGUGAGUAUCAGACUUUUCCAUUUCUCUGACAUUUGUAAAGAAUAAUCAUACUUUUACUGAAUUUAAAAUGAUUAUUUCAGUAAAAUAAUCAAUUUUACUGAAUUGCUGGCCAUUUAAUUUGCUCACCAUAGCGAGGACCCUUUUCAAUGAAUUGAAAUAUAAUGCAAACUUGACUGGGAAUAAUUAAACUUUCACAGUUGAGAAAACACUUAGUAUAUUUUGACCAUCGUUACAGACAUCAACUUAGAAAAUAGGUGGGGAAUUUUCUGUUUUAGGAUUUUGGAUUUUAAAAUUCUGGAUAAAUGAAAAUUUAUUUCAUUUCUCACUAUAUGUAUUAUUUACAUUAAGUAGGAAGGAAACAUUC
Molecule: long non-coding RNA, 376 nt
Filed under: Bos taurus (domestic cattle)
Lineage: Eukaryota; Metazoa; Chordata; Mammalia; Artiodactyla; Bovidae
Description: long non-coding RNA NONBTAT002800
Source: RNAcentral